UCCCCCGUGGUACGCUGGUUUGCCACCCUGACUUUGAAUCAGGAACACGUAGGUUCGAUCCCUGCCGGGGGAGC
This 74-nucleotide transfer RNA is filed under the name Streptomyces phage Tomas. RNAcentral's name for it is "tRNA-Gln". It matches the Rfam family "tRNA". From Rfam's summary of the family: Transfer RNA (tRNA) molecules are approximately 80 nucleotides in length. The record is from RNAcentral. Lineage: Duplodnaviria; Heunggongvirae; Uroviricota; Caudoviricetes; Stanwilliamsviridae.